RNAcentral lists this ribosomal RNA (253 nucleotides) under uncultured bacterium. RNAcentral's name for it is "partial 16S ribosomal RNA". It matches the Rfam family "Bacterial small subunit ribosomal RNA", at positions 524 to 776 of the family's 1533-position model. The record is from RNAcentral.
UACAGAGGUCCCAAGCGUUGUUCGGAUUCACUGGGCGUAAAGGGUGUGUAGGUGGCGCCGUAAGUCGGGUGUGAAAUUUCGGAGCUUAACUCCGAAACUGCAUUCGAUACUGCGGUGCUUGAGGACUGGGGAGGAGACUGGAAUUCAUGGUGUAGCAGUGAAAUGCGUAGAGAUCAUGAGGAAGACCAGUGGCGAAGGCGGGUCUCUGGACAGUUCCUGACACUGAGACACGAAGGCCAGGGGAGCAAACGGG